UACGUAGGGUGCGAGCGUUGUCCGGAAUUAUUGGGCGUAAAGAGCUCGUAGGCGGCUUGUCGCGUCGGAUGUGAAAGCCCGGGGCUUAACUCCGGGACUGCAUUCGAUACGGGCAGGCUAGAGUUCGGUAGGGGAGAUCGGAAUUCCUGGUGUAGCGGUGAAAUGCGCAGAUAUCAGGAGGAACACCGGCGGCGAAGGCGGAUCGCUGGGCCGACACUGACGCUGAGGAGCGAAAGCGUGGGGAGCGAACAGG
RNAcentral lists this ribosomal RNA (253 nucleotides) under uncultured bacterium. RNAcentral describes it as "partial 16S ribosomal RNA". It matches the Rfam family "Bacterial small subunit ribosomal RNA", at positions 524 to 776 of the family's 1533-position model. The record is from RNAcentral.